GACGAACGCUGGCGGCGUGCUUAACACAUGCAAGUCGAACGAUGAAGAAAAGAAUCGAAGCUUCGGCAGAAAUUCAUUUCGGAUUAGUGGCAGACGGGUGAGUAACGCGUGAGCAACCUACCUCUUACAAAGGGAUAGCCUCGGGAAACCGGGAUUAAUACCAUAUAACAUUGUGACGAAGCAUUUCGAUGCAAUCAAAGCUACGGCGGUAAGAGAUGGGCUCGCGUCCCAUUAACCGGAUGGUGAGGUAACGGCUCACCAUAGUGACGAUGGGUAACCGGCCUGAGAGGGUGAACGGUCACACUGGAACUGAGCCACGGUCCAGACUCCUACGGGAGGCAGCAGUGGGGAAUAUUGCACAAUGGAGGGAACUCUGAUGCAGCGACGCCGCGUGAGUGAUGAAGGAAUUCGUUUCGUAAAACUCUGUUCUAUGGGAAGAAAAGGACUGUACCAUAGGAGAAAGCUCCGGCUAAAUACGUG
RNAcentral lists this ribosomal RNA (480 nucleotides) under uncultured bacterium. RNAcentral's name for it is "partial 16S ribosomal RNA". It matches the Rfam family "Bacterial small subunit ribosomal RNA", at positions 28 to 507 of the family's 1533-position model. The record is from RNAcentral.